AAUCUGCCUCGUCGCACAUCAUCACCGGGCCCCCUCUGCUCACCUGUAUCCCUCCCUUUCGGUGCAUGGGACUCGUUCGGCCUGCUUUGCUCGACUUGACGGCACACGGUAUUCGUUGGUGGAUAAUACCCUCAGCCGAAAAAAAAAAAAAAACGAAAUAUUACAAAGCAUCCAUUCGCCUUCUCCCCCUUCCCUUUCCCUCGUUAGCAUCCAGCACACCGCUGUCGGCCCCCCCUCCCCUUUCCUCUCCCACUCGUCGAUAUCAUGGCCAGCCUUGUCAGUUACAUCGUCAACUAUGACGGCUACCCGCUGCAGGCGUACCUGCUCGAGAAUAUUGAUGUGAUCGGCUACAUCGCCUCCAUCUAUCUUGUCAUGGUGGGCAAGGGAGACCGCAUUUUGAGCUGGUGGAACAAGCGUAAGGCGCCGGCUGCCGAUGCCCAGGGGAAGCAAAACGGUGCCAGCAAGGAAACGGUGGCGGCGCUCAAGUCAUGCUACACUGCUGCCUCCACGUACCACCUUGUCGUCUGUAUCGCGUGCGCCCUCGUCUCGUUCAUUCUGGUGCCCGCCAUGGCGCAGUCGGUCCUGGCCAACUCCUUCUUCGCGACCAUGUGCCUUUGGGAUGACGCUCGCAUCUACAAGGGCUACGUCGGCUUCGCCCUCAGCGCCGCUGUGGUGGUGAAAGUAGUGGAGCAGCUCGACACAUUCUUCCUGAUCCUGCGAGACUACAUUGUCGCCUCUCCAGAGCAGGAGAAGAAGCAGGUGCGCCGCGUGCGACCCUCUCACUGGUGGUUCCAGGUACUCAUCGCCCUCUACUUCUGGCACACCUAUAGCAUUGGCACCAGCUGCUUCACGAUGAUCGCCACCUUUACGAUGGCUAUCUCUGCCGCCCGCAACUUCUUCUACAUGCAGCAGGAUUUCGCGCAGGCCCAGGGCAAGACCGCCAUGGCCACCAAGCCGAACCGUGAGAUCUUGGCGCUGGACAUGGCUGAGUGGAUCGGCUGCAGCGCGCUCUCCGUCUACGCCAGCUACAUGAACUACACACACGAGCGCGGGUGCAUGACAAUGCAAGCGAACGUGCGCAUGGCCCUCGUCAUGUACGUGACGGCUGUCGUGCUGCGCUUCCGCGAGCUGGGCAAGGGCACGGAGGCCCCGGUAGCGCGCGAGUCCAAGAAGAACCAGUAGCUCCGCUCGCUCACCCACGCACGGCGACGGUGUGGUCAUGCACCAACGGUGUGCUGCUGCGGCAUCCGAUGUGGACGCGAAGUCGGCUGAUGGACGCUCUACGUGUGUAUGUGCGUGCGUGCGUGCUGCCGUCGUAGCCCCCACCCCCUCUCUUCCCCCUAUCCUUCUUUUUUUUUGAGGAAGGGGAGGCAUUCUUUUCCAUCUCACUGGUGUCAUCGUGCACGCAGACGCACGCGCGCACACAUACGAGGAAGGCCCGAGUCACCACCAAGAAGACAAAACGCACAUGAAAGUCUUUUCUGUCGAGGUAUUUGCGGGCUCUUGUUCCUAUCGCUGUGCGAAUUGUGUGCGAGUACAGUCACCUUCGCCCCCCCCCCUCUCGCUGAGUGCGGGCGUGCGUGUGGUAUCAGAAGAACACUAUAGUUGCGCUCUCGAUGCUCGUCGUCAUCAGCACUACGGCCCUCCCUCCCCCCCCACACACACGACAUCUCCUUCCUUUUACGAGUAUCCUUUCUGUGGAUGCAUCUUACUUCAUCCUCAUCACUUGACUCUCUUGUUUUGUUGUGUGUGUGUGCGUGUGUGCGCCCCCCCCCUCCACACACACACCAGCACACACCGGCCUUGUCGCACACCCUUUUUUUCGCUUUGUUUGCCUUUUUUGGUGUUGUGUUGCUUCUCUGGGUGCGCGUGUCCAUCACAGCCCCUCCCCCUCUCUCCACUCCCCCUCUCCCCCUCCUCUGUAGGAAAGAACAGUGCCUGGCGUAAGCGUCUCUGCAAGACGACAGCGGAAAACAAUAAAAAAGCGAACGAACUCGGGAGUAAAGGCGCCCGCGUACAAGGCACGAAAUCUGUGAAAGAAGGGAGGAGGUUUAGUGGAAGGGGAGAGAGAGAAGAGGGAGGCACCGUCGAGAGACGGGGGUUCAUUGUUGUCGUUUUCUCUUUUCUAUUCACUUGUUUUUUUCUUUUCCUUUCUGUCCAGCACUCCUCUUGUCGGCGUUCUUCGUGCUUGACGGACUCAAACCCCAUAUGCACGCCUGCUGCCACCCCCACUUCCGCCUCCGCCAGCCCCCACCCACCCACCCACACCCUCCCGCCCUCGCCUUGCACGUGUGCCCUUCUGUGGAACUUUGCCGUGGGUGGGGGGCUUUCGUGCGUCUUCUGCUCCCUUCUGCAUUUCUUCUUUAUUUUUUUUUGUCGCAUUUCCCGUUGGCGCUGUCACCGCCAUCAUCACCCUCCCAACCCCUCUCGCCCCCUCUCAGAGGGUAGGACACACCAUUACGGUGACGAUGUGUACAGCAUGGCGCCUCUUCUCUGUCAUUUGUUGGUUGGCCUAGUGGCUGUGUGGCUCUUGCUCGAGCAGAGGUGGUACGCCCCUGUGCUCCCGUUUGGUUGCUUGUCCCACCACACCACAGCACACCACCAAGUCCCACCCCAUCUCCUCACUUGUCUUUUCUUUGCUCAGCCAUUUUUCUUACUUUUUGUUUUCGGUGGGGAGGAGGAGGGGGGAGCUGUGUGCUUGUCCUCGUAUUCGGCAUAAACACAUGUGUAUACACACCCAUCUGUACCUUCCUCUCCAUCACCACACGAAUGUGAUUCUCUAUUAUUCUUUUUUUUUUGGUGGGAAGGGCUGCUGUAUUUUGUGUGCACUUCCUUUCGCUUCUCUCAACGCCGCGCCCUCCUUCUCCCUCUUCGCUUCCCUCCGCUCCUCGGUAAGGGAGGGUGGCAGUGGUGGUGUUGAGACUGUGACGGGGUCGGUGGAUGGAUGGAGAAAAGGCCAUGGCGUGCCCGAUCGUGUGAUGUUCGCUCUUUCUUUAAGACUGGAGCUGUCUCUCCACCCCCUCCCCCAUUCUCUUGCAAGCACGCCGUAUAGGUGUGCAGCAGUCGAAUGGAGUGAAGGUGCCCCGCGGGGGCAUCAUCAUCUCUCCUCUCCGUUCUUCUUUUCGCUGGGCGUCGUUGUGUUCAACCGCUGAGCCAUUUCAUUUCUAUUCGCUCUGCAGCUUGCUCAGUCCUCCCGCCCGCCCGUCCGCUCGUUCACGCCCUCGCGAAACGGCGAAGGCGACGGCACCGGCAGACCUGACAAGCGACUUUGACGAAACAGUGGACGUGAGCGGAGUCUCACAAAGAUGGUGAAGCAGGCGGACGAAUAAAAGGCGCGCGAGCGAGAGAUACCGAAGCCAUCAGCGCAGUCAUGUGUGCUUCCAGUCCACUUCUCGCUCUCUCUCUCUCUGCGCCUUUACGUGUGUGUGUGUGUGUGUGUGUGUGUGUGUGUGUGUGUGUGUGAAGUGGGCGCACACGCACGUACAAUAGACUUCGAAGGUGGGUGCGCAAGCAGCUACUGAUGCUCACCACAACGAACAGGAAAAUAUAGAGAUGUAUGGAUAUAUAUAUAUAUAUAUUGAUAAGCGAAGCGGGCGGGGGAGGCUGUAUCUCUCCCACACACGCACACACACAUGCACCUCAGUCGCUGGCUCUCAGCCAAAGUGAAGCGCGCCGCACUUUUCUACGUUUGUCCUUCGCCAACUCCCCUGUCUCCGCCUCCUUGGCCGUGUAGAGGCACUCGGCUUGCGUAGGCCUCGGAAGAGGAGAGAACCAAGUAUACAUUAAGGACUCAACGACGCUUGAAUUAUGGACAAGGCGCGAGGGGCACCAGUUCUCUGCGUGCGCGUGUGUCGGAGGGUCUAUUGCAUGAUAGGGAGACGAGAAAGCCAAAAAAAAAGGGAUUCAGUGGUACGUUUCUGUUAUCUGUGCUCCUCAGGCGAGGGAAGAUGCAGCGCACCUCUGGCGCCGUCGUCUGUCUGUCUGCGUGCGUGUCUGUGUGUGCGUGUGUGUGUAGUGCUUUCAUAAGCUGACAUGGUUGAGCGAAAGUAUAGAGGGAAACAUGUGAGAAAGCAAGCAGUCGUGUACACGCAUCCGUGCCUGCGCGAGGAGGGGGGUGGGGUCGUGAGGUACGUUUAGCACGCUCCACUCAGCAUUCCCCGCGCGGUGCGUUGCGGCUGCUGCACCUUCGACUGUGCCUCUUCCUUUAACCUACACACAUACACACGCCUCUCUCUCUCGGUGCCAGCACCCUCUCGCACGUCCGUUUAUGUGUGUGCUCGGUGCUGUUUUAUGUGACUUAUUCACUUGAUGUAUUGCCGCUCUGCUCUGAUCGCCUCCUCGCUUGCGGCGCGUGGCCGCACCACGUGCGACGGUCGCUCACAAAAG
RNAcentral lists this unclassified non-coding RNA (4386 nucleotides) under Leishmania donovani. Its description in RNAcentral is "gene:LdHU3.14.0880(CDS-product:fatty_acid_elongas e_putative)". The record is from RNAcentral. Lineage: Eukaryota; Euglenozoa; Kinetoplastea; Trypanosomatida; Trypanosomatidae.